Molecule: ribosomal RNA, 601 nt
Filed under: Diaporthe sp.
Lineage: Eukaryota; Fungi; Ascomycota; Sordariomycetes; Diaporthales; Diaporthaceae
Description: partial large subunit ribosomal RNA
Rfam family: Eukaryotic large subunit ribosomal RNA
Source: RNAcentral
CUUUAAGCAUAUCAAUAAGCGGAGGAAAAGAAACCAACAGGGAUUGCCCUAGUAACGGCGAGUGAAGCGGCAACAGCUCAAAUUUGAAAUCUGGCUUCGGCCCGAGUUGUAAUUUGCAGAGGAUGUUUCUGGCGCGGUGCCUUCCGAGUUCCCUGGAACGGGACGCCACAGAGGGUGAGAGCCCCGUAUGGUCGGACACCAAGCCUGUGUGAAACUCCUUCAACGAGUCGAGUAGUUUGGGAAUGCUGCUCUAAAUGGGAGGUAAAUCUCUUCUAAAGCUAAAUACCGGCCAGAGACCGAUAGCGCACAAGUAGAGUGAUCGAAAGAUGAAAAGCACCUUGAAAAGGGGGUUAAAUAGUACGUGAAAUUGUUGAAAGGGAAGCACUUAUGACCAGACUUGGGCCGGGCGGCUCAUCAGGGGUUCUCCCCUGUGCACUCCGCCCGGCACAGGCCAGCAUCGGUUUUCGCGGGGGGAUAAGACCGACGGGAACGUAGCACCCUCCGGGGUGUGUUAUAGCCCGGCGGACGAUACCCUCGCGGGGACCGAGGUCCGCGCUCCGCAAGGAUGCUGGCGUAAUGGUCAUCAGUGACCCGUCUUGAA